Molecule: small RNA, 124 nt
Filed under: Marmota monax (woodchuck)
Lineage: Eukaryota; Metazoa; Chordata; Mammalia; Rodentia; Sciuridae
Source: RNAcentral
GCCAGACGCGGUGGCGCACACCUGUAAUCCCAGUGGUUUGGAGGCUGAGGCAGGAGGAUUGUGAUUUCAAAGCCAGCUUCAGCAACUGAGAGGCACUAAGCAACUCAGUGAGACCCUGUCUCUA